GAUGAACGCUGGCGGCGUGCCUAAUACAUGCAAGUCGAGCGAACAGAUGAGGAGCUUGCUCCUCUGACGUUAGCGGCGGACGGGUGAGUAACACGUGGAUAACCUACCUAUAAGACUGGGAUAACUUCGGGAAACCGGAGCUAAUACCGGAUAAUAUAUUGAACCGCAUGGUUCAAUAGUGAAAGACGGUUUUGCUGCCACUUAUAGAUGGAUCCGCGCCGCAUUAGCUAGUUGGUAAGGUAACGGCUUACCAAGGCAACGAUGCGUAGCCGACCUGAGAGGGUGAUCGGCCACACUGGAACUGGGACACGGUCCAGACUCCUACGGGAGGCAGCAGUAGGGAAUCUUCCGCAAUGGGCGAAAGCCUGACGGAGCAACGCCGCGUGAGUGAUGAAGGUCUUCGGAUCGUAAAACUCUGUUAUUAGGGAAGAACAAAUGUGUAAGUAACUAUGCACGUCUUGACGGUACCUAAUCAGAAAGCCACGGCUAACUACGUG
This 497-nucleotide ribosomal RNA is filed under the name uncultured bacterium. RNAcentral's name for it is "partial 16S ribosomal RNA". It matches the Rfam family "Bacterial small subunit ribosomal RNA", at positions 28 to 507 of the family's 1533-position model. The record is from RNAcentral.